RNAcentral lists this ribosomal RNA (253 nucleotides) under uncultured bacterium. RNAcentral describes it as "partial 16S ribosomal RNA". It matches the Rfam family "Bacterial small subunit ribosomal RNA", at positions 524 to 776 of the family's 1533-position model. The record is from RNAcentral.
GACAGAGGGUGCGAACGUUGUUCGGAAUUACUGGGCGUAAAGCGCGUGUAGGCUGUUCGGAAAGUCGGGUGUGAAAGCCCUGGGCUCAACCUAGGAAGUGCACUCGAAACUCCCGAACUGGAGUCCCGGAGAGGAAGGCGGAAUUCUCGGUGUAGAGGUGAAAUUCGUAGAUAUCGAGAGGAACAUCGGUGGCGAAGGCGGCCUUCUGGACGGUGACUGACGCUGAGGCUCGAAAGCGUGGGGAGCAAACAGG